GAUGAACGCUGGCGGCGUGCCUAAUACAUGCAAGUCGAGCGAACAGACGAGGAGCUUGCUCCUCUGACGUUAGCGGCGGACGGGUGAGUAACACGUGGAUAACCUACCUAUAAGACUGGGAUAACUUCGGGAAACCGGAGCUAAUACCGGAUAAUAUAUUGAACCGCAUGGUUCAAUAGUGAAAGACGGUUUUGCUGUCACUUAUAGAUGGAUCCGCGCCGCAUUAGCUAGUUGGUAAGGUAACGGCUUACCAAGGCAACGAUGCGUAGCCGACCUGAGAGGGUGAUCGGCCACACUGGAGCUGAGACACGGUCCAGACUCCUACGGGAGGCAGCAGUAGGGAAUCUUCCGCAAUGGGCGAAAGCUUGACGGAGCAACGCCGCGUGAGUGACGAAGGUCUUCGGAUCGUAAAACUCUGUUAUUAGGGAAGAACAAAUGUGUAAGUAACUAUGCACGUCUUGACGGUACCUAAUCAGAAAGCCACGGCUAACUACGUG
This 497-nucleotide ribosomal RNA is filed under the name uncultured bacterium. RNAcentral describes it as "partial 16S ribosomal RNA". It matches the Rfam family "Bacterial small subunit ribosomal RNA", at positions 28 to 507 of the family's 1533-position model. The record is from RNAcentral.